GGCGGACGGGUGAGUAACGCGUAAAGAACUUGCCCUUUAGACUGGGAUAACAGAGGGAAACUUCUGAUAAUACUGGAUAAGUUAGUAUAUCGCAUGAUAUGCAAAUGAAAGCUGCGGCACUAAAGGAGAGCUUUGCGUCCUAUUAGCUAGUUGGUAAGGUAAGAGCUUACCAAGGCGAUGAUAGGUAGCCGGCCUGAGAGGGUGGACGGCCACAAGGGGACUGAGAUACGGCCCUUACUCCUACGGGAGGCAGCAGGG
This 258-nucleotide ribosomal RNA is filed under the name uncultured Leptotrichia sp. Its description in RNAcentral is "partial 16S ribosomal RNA". It matches the Rfam family "Bacterial small subunit ribosomal RNA", at positions 97 to 354 of the family's 1533-position model. The record is from RNAcentral. Lineage: Bacteria; Fusobacteriati; Fusobacteriota; Fusobacteriia; Fusobacteriales; Leptotrichiaceae.